ACGGGGAGCACCACAACAGGUGGAGCCUGCGGUUUAAUCGGACUCAACGCCGGGAAACUCACCAGAUAAGACAGCUGAAUGAUAGUCGGGCUGAAGACUCUACUUGACUAGCUGAGAGGAGGUGCAUGGCCGUCGUCAGUUCGUACUGUGAAGCAUCCUGUUAAGUCAGGCAACGAGCGAGACCCACGCCAACAGUUGCCAGCUCGUCCUCCGGGAUGGUGGGGACACUGUUGGGACCGCCUCUGACUAAAGAGGGGAAGGAAUGGGCAACGGUAGGUCAGCAUGCCCCGAAUUAUCUGGGCUAUACGCGGGCUACAAUGGGUGGGACAAUGGGUAUCGACACCGAAAGGUGAAGGCAAUCUCCUAAACCCAUCCGUAGUUCGGAUUGUGGGCUGCAACUCGCCCACAUGAAGCUGGAAUCUGUAGUAAUCGUGUCUCAAAAUGGCACGGUGAAUAUGUCCCUGCUCCUU
This 470-nucleotide ribosomal RNA is filed under the name uncultured Methanomicrobiales archaeon. Its description in RNAcentral is "bacterial SSU rRNA". It matches the Rfam family "Archaeal small subunit ribosomal RNA", at positions 871 to 1337 of the family's 1478-position model. The record is from RNAcentral. Lineage: Archaea; Methanobacteriati; Methanobacteriota; Methanomicrobia; Methanomicrobiales.